Cannabis sativa is the source of this 91-nucleotide small nucleolar RNA. The record is from RefSeq and is a predicted model, not a curated record. Lineage: Eukaryota; Viridiplantae; Streptophyta; Magnoliopsida; Rosales; Cannabaceae.
UUGAGGUCAUGUGAUGAAAAUUGAUUUGUAAAUGGGUAAUUUGCGUCUGAUUUAAGCUUGAUGCUAACACCUUGGAGAACUGAUGCCUCUU